RNAcentral lists this long non-coding RNA (307 nucleotides) under Cricetulus griseus (Chinese hamster). Its description in RNAcentral is "lncRNA (ENSCGRG00000024995.1)". Lineage: Eukaryota; Metazoa; Chordata; Mammalia; Rodentia; Cricetidae. The record is from RNAcentral.
GCAAACUGGAUAGCCACUAGAGAGUUCUCACCUCUACUAAUGCUCAGAUGGAAAGGAUGAUCCACUGAACCUCAGUCUGCUCCCAACUGCACUGCUGCCCCAACUCCCUGAGACUGCAAUGCAUUCCUGUCUUCGCCCAACUUACAGUCUUCUCUGUAGAACCAUAUCACUCCUGUCUCUACAUUACUAGUUCUGGGAUUAAAGGUACCUCCAGGUUCCUGGAGAAAGACCUGCUGAUGUGUCAAGAAAACUGGCCUGAUGGAAACUAAUAUCAAUCUCCAGAGCCCCUGUUGACCCCAAACAUUUC